Molecule: ribosomal RNA, 322 nt
Filed under: Cotesia congregata
Lineage: Eukaryota; Metazoa; Arthropoda; Insecta; Hymenoptera; Braconidae
Description: partial 16S ribosomal RNA
Source: RNAcentral
CUGCUCAAUGAAUUUUAAAUAGCUGCAGUAUAAAUAACUGUACAAAGGUAGCAUAAUAAUUUGUUUUUUAAUUGAAAACUAGAAUGAAUGAUUUAAUGAAAUAUAAACUGUAUCAAAUUUAAAUAAUAAAUUUAUUAUUUAAAUAAAAAAAUUUAAAUAAUUUUUAAAGACGAGAAGACCCUAAGAAUUUUAAUAAUAAUUUAUUAUAUUAUAUUAAUUGGGGAAAUUUUAAAAUUUUAAAAAUUUUUAAUUAAAAAAACAUAAAGUUUUGAAUAUUUAUUAUUUUUUAAAAAAAUAAAUUAAUUACCUUAGGGAUAACAGC